AGUGAACGCUGGCGGUAGGCCUAACACAUGCAAGUCGAACGGCAGCACAGUAAGAGCUUGCUCUUACGGGUGGCGAGUGGCGGAUGGGUGAGGAAUACAUCGGAAUCUACUUUUUCGUGGGGGAUAACGUAGGGAAACUUACGCUAAUACCGCAUACGACCUACGGGUGAAAGCAGGGGAUCUUCGGACCUUUCGCGAUUGAAUGAGCCGAUGUCGGAUUAGCUAGUUGGCGGGGUAAAGGCACACCAAGGCGACGAUCCGUAGCUGGUCUGAGAGGAUGAUCGGCCACACUGGAACUGAGACACGGUCCAGACUCCUACGGGAGGCAGCAGUGGGGAAUAUUGGACAAUGGGCGCAAGCCUGAUCCAGCCAUACCGCGUGGGUGAAGAAGGCCUUCGGGUUGUAAAGCCCUUUUGUUGGGAAAGAAAAGCAGCAGGUUAAUACCCCGCUGUUCUGACGGUACCCAAAGAAUAAGCACCGGCUAACUACGUG
RNAcentral lists this ribosomal RNA (492 nucleotides) under uncultured bacterium. Its description in RNAcentral is "partial 16S ribosomal RNA". It matches the Rfam family "Bacterial small subunit ribosomal RNA", at positions 29 to 507 of the family's 1533-position model. The record is from RNAcentral.